CCCUGCAAUAGCCCAUUUAUUUUGCAGCGUACAGAUAAAAGCCCGCUGCAAUAAAAAAAUUUCGCUGCAAAGCUAAUUAAGAAAAACAUUUCGGAUCUCAAACCUAAGGACGCUCAUACUCCCUCUUCUUCCCUCAGCUUUCCCUGCGUACUCUCUCACCUCCUCAUUCUUCUUCUUCUUCAUCUGCUCUCUUUCUCUCUCCUAAAUCCGUUUCUUCUCCGCCAUUUUUUGGGUUUUUUGCAAGUAAUUGUUGAAAUUGGGUGACAAUUCGUCUUGGUUUUUGUGAAAAUUUGCUCGACUCUUUCUCUCCAAACAUCUGGCCUUCGACCUCAGCCUUCGAACUCAGCCGCCUUCGAAAUUGAGGAGAUAAUGUUGCAGAGCAGAGUCAUGCUUGCAGCUCACAUGACUGCUCAUCAACUCCUUCUACUUCCACAUCUUCGCCUUUUCCUUCACCCUCUGCUAUCAAUCAACAACCAUUCUUACAUGUUCAUAGCAGUUUGGGAAACCAUUCUUCUUUCAUGCCAGAAAUGGAGAUGAUGAAAGAGAGAUUUGCGAAGCUGCUGCUUGGCGAAGACAUGUCUGGCUCUGGUAAAGGUGUUAGCACGGCGUUGGCUAUUUCAAAUGCUAUUACGAAUUUAUGUGCCACAUUAUUUGGGCAACUAUGGAGAUUGGAACCUGUGCCGCCUGAAAAGAAAGCAAUGUGGAGAAGAGAGAUGGAAUGGCUUCUCUGUGUUGGUG
Molecule: long non-coding RNA, 738 nt
Organism: Spinacia oleracea (spinach)
Lineage: Eukaryota; Viridiplantae; Streptophyta; Magnoliopsida; Caryophyllales; Amaranthaceae
Exons: 4
Source: RefSeq, a predicted model, not a curated record